This 386-nucleotide long non-coding RNA is filed under the name Vigna radiata. Its description in RNAcentral is "long non-coding RNA (VRAD_LNC003557)". The record is from RNAcentral. Lineage: Eukaryota; Viridiplantae; Streptophyta; Magnoliopsida; Fabales; Fabaceae.
GGGCGGUUUAAAUGAAAAAAAGGAAACACAAGGGCGGGAGGCAGAACAAGAAAACGUCAAAUAUCCAAAACAUUCGACUUCAUAAAAUAAAAAUAUAAAAAAAGAUAUGUAAAUCUUAUCUUAAUAUAUAAUGGUAACGGGAGGUUAUGGGCUAUUUAAAUGAAAAAAAAAAGGAAACAAAAGGGUAGGAGGCAGAACCAGAAAAUGUCAAAUAUCCAAAAUAUUUGACGUAUAACAUGUGUUUUUUCAAGUCAAUUUAUACGUCAAAGCCCAGUAGAAUUUGAUGUAUCGUUUGUAUUUUUAAACCAGAGAAGUUGAGAAGUUAAAAACUACUAGAUUGUGAAAGAUGUUCCGAGAAUACUAUUUAGACUUGGCUUUUUCAUCAU